This 463-nucleotide ribosomal RNA is filed under the name Streptococcus australis. RNAcentral's name for it is "bacterial SSU rRNA". It matches the Rfam family "Bacterial small subunit ribosomal RNA", at positions 28 to 474 of the family's 1533-position model. The record is from RNAcentral. Lineage: Bacteria; Bacillati; Bacillota; Bacilli; Lactobacillales; Streptococcaceae.
GAUGAACGCUGGCGGCGUGCCUAAUACAUGCAAGUAGAACGCUGAAGGAGGAGCUUGCUCUUUCCGGAUGAGUUGCGAACGGGUGAGUAACGCGUAGGUAACCUGCCUGGUAGCGGGGGAUAACUAUUGGAAACGAUAGCUAAUACCGCAUAACAGUAGAUAUUGCAUGAUAUCUGCUUGAAAGGGGCAAUUGCUCCACUACCAGAUGGACCUGCGUUGUAUUAGCUAGUUGGUGAGGUAACGGCUCACCAAGGCGACGAUACAUAGCCGACCUGAGAGGGUGAUCGGCCACACUGGGACUGAGACACGGCCCAGACUCCUACGGGAGGCAGCAGUAGGGAAUCUUCGGCAAUGGACGGAAGUCUGACCGAGCAACGCCGCGUGAGUGAAGAAGGUUUUCGGAUCGUAAAGCUCUGUUGUAAGAGAAGAACGAGUGUGAGAGUGGAAAGUUCACACUGUGACG